GAUGAACGCUGGCGGCGUGCCUAAUACAUGCAAGUCGAGCGAACGGACGAGAAGCUUGCUUCUCUGAUGUUAGCGGCGGACGGGUGAGUAACACGUGGAUAACCUACCUAUAAGACUGGGAUAACUUCGGGAAACCGGAGCUAAUACCGGAUAAUAUUUUGAACCGCAUGGUUCAAAAGUGAAAGACGGUCUUGCUGUCACUUAUAGAUGGAUCCGCGCUGCAUUAGCUAGUUGGUAAGGUAACGGCUUACCAAGGCAACGAUGCAUAGCCGACCUGAGAGGGUGAUCGGCCACACUGGAACUGAGACACGGUCCAGACUCCUACGGGAGGCAGCAGUAGGGAAUGUUCCGAAAUGGGCGAAAGCCUGACGGAGCAACGCCGCGUGAGUGAUGAAGGUCUUCGGAUCGUAAAACUCUGUUAUUAGGGAAGAACAUAUGUGUAAGUAACUGUGCACAUCUUGACGGUACCUAAUCAGAAAGCCACGGCUAACUACGUG
This 497-nucleotide ribosomal RNA is filed under the name uncultured bacterium. Its description in RNAcentral is "partial 16S ribosomal RNA". It matches the Rfam family "Bacterial small subunit ribosomal RNA", at positions 28 to 507 of the family's 1533-position model. The record is from RNAcentral.